UGAAAAGCCGUUUUAAUGGGGGAACAAACCUAAAAUUUGGAAUAAUUGAUAAUAUGUGUAUAUGUAGCCAAUCAGAGCAGAAACCAGAAAAUCAGGCAGCAAGCUUAAGGGAAACGCAACAUACUUUGUUUGGUUUCCUUUUCUUCCAUAAACUGAUCAGGGGUAGGUAGAGUAUGCUGCUAUAGUUCGGAGUCGUCACCAUCCUCACGGAAACGGCAGGAGUGUGAACACCUCCCUGAGCUACCAAGAGCAUCUGACUCGUUGCAACGUGGGCCCGAACCCAGCGCCUCUAGGAAACGUGGGGCCGGGGCCUUUUGGUCCCGGGUGUGGGUUGGGGGUUUGGGGAAGGGCCGGGGCCUUGAUCCCAGGUGUGGGGUUGGGGAUUCCGGGGCUGAGCCGAGGCCUUGGUUAGGGGUGUGGGGCGGGGGUUCGGGGCAGUGCCGGGGCCUUGGUCCCGGGUGUGGGGUUGGGACUUCGGGGCCGGGACCUUCGUCUCAGGUGUGGGGCGGGAGUUCGGGACAGGGCUGGGGCCUGGGUCCCUGGUGGGGCGUUCGGGGCAGUGCCGGGGCCUUGGUCCCGGGUGUGGGGUGGGAGUUUGGGGCAGGGCCGGGGCCUGGGUCCCGGGUGGGGCGGCCGGGGCCUUGGUCCCGGGUGUGGGGUGGGAGUUCGGGGCAGGGCCGGGGCCUGGGUCCCGGGUGUGGGGUGAGGUGUUCCGGGCAGGGCCGGGACCUUGAUCCCAGCUGUGGGGUGGGAGUUCGGGGAAGGGCCAGGGCGUGUCCUGGGUGGCCAGGGUCGGGGCCUGGGUCCUGGGGGUGGGAUGAGGGGUUCGGGGCAGGGCCGGGGCCUUGGUCCAGGGUCUGGGGACAGGCUAGGGCCGGGGUCGCCAUCCGUCCUGGGCGGCGGGCAGGGGUCUUUAAGGGGCGCACGCGGUGGCGGAGGACCAGGGCCCAGCCCUCCGGAAGUCAGGGCCCACACGGCCCCCCAGCGUCAGGCGCUCCGGUCGCG
This 1005-nucleotide long non-coding RNA is filed under the name Homo sapiens (human). RNAcentral describes it as "non-protein coding lnc-LARP4B-1:1". Lineage: Eukaryota; Metazoa; Chordata; Mammalia; Primates; Hominidae. The record is from RNAcentral.